GACGAACGCUGGCGGCGUGCUUAACACAUGCAAGUCGAGCGGUAAGGCCCUUUCGGGGGUACACGAGCGGCGAACGGGUGAGUAACACGUGGGUGACCUGCCCUCAGCUCUGGGAUAAGCCUGGGAAACCGGGUCUAAUACUGGAUAUGACUCCAUGACGCAUGUUGUGGGGUGGAAAGCCUUGUGCGGCUGAGGAUGGGCCCGCGGCCUAUCAGCUUGUUGGUGGGGUGANGGCCUACCAAGGCGACGACGGGUAGCCGGCCUGAGAGGGCGACCGGCCACACUGGGACUGAGACACGGCCCAGACUCCUACGGGAGGCAGCAGUGGGGAAUCUUGCGCAAUGGGCGAAAGCCUGACGCAGCG
RNAcentral lists this ribosomal RNA (364 nucleotides) under uncultured bacterium. RNAcentral describes it as "bacterial SSU rRNA". It matches the Rfam family "Bacterial small subunit ribosomal RNA", at positions 28 to 393 of the family's 1533-position model. The record is from RNAcentral.